Molecule: ribosomal RNA, 253 nt
Filed under: uncultured bacterium
Lineage: Bacteria
Description: partial 16S ribosomal RNA
Rfam family: Bacterial small subunit ribosomal RNA
Source: RNAcentral
UACGUAGGGUGCAAGCGUUAAUCGGAAUUACUGGGCGUAAAGCGUGCGUAGACGGUUAUGUAAGUCAGAUGUGAAAGCCCCGGGCUCAACCUGGGAAUUGCAUUUGAGACUGCAUAGCUAGGGUGCGGAAGAGGGAAGCGGAAUUUCCGGUGUAGCGGUAAAAUGCGUAGAUAUCGGAAGGAACACCAGUGGCGAAAGCGGCUUCCUGGUCCAGCACCGACGUUCAGGCACGAAAGCGUGGGGAGCAAACAGG